This 524-nucleotide ribosomal RNA is filed under the name uncultured Glomus. Its description in RNAcentral is "SSU rRNA". It matches the Rfam family "Eukaryotic small subunit ribosomal RNA", at positions 556 to 1081 of the family's 1831-position model. Lineage: Eukaryota; Fungi; Glomeromycota; Glomeromycetes; Glomerales; Glomeraceae. The record is from RNAcentral.
CAAGUCUGGUGCCAGCAGCCGCGGUAAUUCCAGCUCCAAUAGCGUAUAUUAAAGUUGUUGCAGUUAAAAAGCUCGUAGUUGAAUUUCGGGAUCAGUUCGCUGGUCGUGCCUCUGGUAUGUACUGGUGUUACUGGUUCCUCCCUUCUGAAGAACUGUCAUGUCAUUAAUUUGGUGUGGCGGGGAAUCAGGACUGUUACUUUGAAAAAAUUAGAGUGUUUAAAGCAGGCUCGCGCUUGAAUACAUUAGCAUGGAAUAAUGAAAUAGGACGUUUGAUCCUAUUUUGUUGGUUUCUAGGAUUGACGUAAUGAUUAAUAGGGAUAGUUGGGGGCAUUAGUAUUCAAUUGUCAGGGGUGAAAUUCUUGGAUUUAUUGAAGACUAACUACUGCGAAAGCAUUUGCCAAGGAUAUUUUCAUUAAUCAAGAACGAAAGUUAGGGGAUCGAAGACGAUCAGAUACCGUCGUAGUCUUAACCAUAAACUAUGCCGACUAGGGAUCGGAUGAUGUUAAUUCUUUAAUGACUCAUUC